This 247-nucleotide long non-coding RNA is filed under the name Homo sapiens (human). RNAcentral's name for it is "HSALNT0125624". Lineage: Eukaryota; Metazoa; Chordata; Mammalia; Primates; Hominidae. The record is from RNAcentral.
AACACAUCAGAUAUUUUCAGCACUAAAAGAGAUGGUUUUCCCCACAUAUAUGUAAAAGAAAUUUGCAAGACUACUGGAUUUUGAUCUCAUGGUUGCAGUGGGUGAAUAGGUGGCCUUUUGUGAUCUCCUACAUCACCCUGGAAGUGAGACUUCUUCGGUUUCUUCUAGAGUCAGUUUGCAUUCUCCACUGAUUGUACAAUUUUGAGAAACAGAGUUGAGGUCUGUUUAAAGGGUCUUGGCAGAUGGA